AGAGAGAUAUUGUAUAUAGAUAGAUAGAUAUACUAAUGGCAGUGUUGAAGCAAGGAAAAAAGGCGAGCUGUGCGCGCUAAGAGAGGCACCUUCCCCCCGCGAAGGUUCUCACGCGACUGACGCGACGACGACCGGGACGACGGUGGCCGCACGGAGUAACUAAGAGUGGGGGUGGGGGUACUAGAAAUUCCGUAAGAGUGGGGAUAGCUAGAGCCAUGCCGCGGCGUCCCCAGUCGUCAGUGUGGGGAGACGGCACGCUGAAGGGAAACGCGCGCGUUCCUCUCCUUCGUGUCGACAGAAGAAGAAGGAUGUUAAAUCAAUCGUCUCAUCUCUUGUUUUCGUUUUAUUACAAAUAUACGAUCCGAAACGACGUUUUGACUUUCGAGCCGUAUUUCACAAUGAAACCAACGAGGAGAUAUUACAGCAAAGCGAAAGUAUGCCAACGCCUUCUCUUAUCUAGUCCGAUUCGCUUUUUCACAAGAACACUGUUACUUUCAUACGAAUCGAUAAACUCGACUGGUGUUUACUAGUUACCAUCUGUGCGUCAAAGGAAGGAGAACGAUCGAAUGAUCGAUAAUAAUAGGUUAUGUUACUUAAUCUUAUUCAAUAAUUCUGCCCCAUCAUUUCUUAAUUUUUAAUAUCAACUUAGUAUCAACAAUGUGUGGUCACAUAGAGACUAAAAAAAAAGAUUCUUCUUGAAACAUUUGUUAUAAAAAAUAUUCUUAUAAUUUAAAAAAUUUGUUUCAUACAUACACACACACAUAUAUAUAUAAAUUAAAACAUAGACUUUGUACCUUUGUAAGUACUGGUUGGUUGUUAAAACAAAAAGGAAAAAAUAAACAAAUAAAUAAAUGAAUGAACGAAUAAAAUAAAAUGAAACAAAAAAGAAAAAACGGAAAAGAAAAAAAUCGAAAGGAUGCACCAAGGUGGUCAAGUAUAAAGUGUAGGUGUAAAUCCCAUUCAUGUUGAGUUUCGCUUAUCAGAUGCCAAACCACGUGGUCUCGACACGCACCUUCUCUCUCUAACCACGUGACUCAAGUGUACCUACGUUCCCACUGCUGUUUAUGGUGUCAACACACUUUCCUCAUCUCCAAAUUGUAUUUUACGAAUAAAUAUCUCUAUCAAUUAUA
This is a long non-coding RNA of Vespula pensylvanica (western yellowjacket), 1130 nucleotides long. RefSeq lists it as uncharacterized. The record is from RefSeq and is a predicted model, not a curated record. NCBI's taxonomy places the organism in Eukaryota, Metazoa, Arthropoda, Insecta, Hymenoptera, Vespidae. The transcript is spliced from 2 exons.